RNAcentral lists this ribosomal RNA (253 nucleotides) under uncultured bacterium. RNAcentral describes it as "partial 16S ribosomal RNA". It matches the Rfam family "Bacterial small subunit ribosomal RNA", at positions 524 to 776 of the family's 1533-position model. The record is from RNAcentral.
UACAGAGGUCCCAAGCGUUGUUCGGAUUCACUGGGCGUAAAGGGUGCGUAGGUGGUGGGGUAAGUUGGAUGUGAAAGCUCCGAGCUUAACUCGGAAAUGGCAUUCAAAACUACCUUGCUAGAGGGUUGGAAGGGGGACUGGAAUUCUCGGUGUAGCAGUGAAAUGCGUAGAUAUCGAGAGGAACACCGGUGGCGAAGGCGGGCCUCUGGGCAGUAACUGACGCUGAGGAGCGAAAGCGUGGGGAGCGAACAGG